Molecule: ribosomal RNA, 406 nt
Filed under: uncultured bacterium
Lineage: Bacteria
Description: partial 16S ribosomal RNA
Rfam family: Bacterial small subunit ribosomal RNA
Source: RNAcentral
AUUGAACGCUGGCGGCAUGCCUAAUACAUGCAAGUCGAACGAGUGGCGGACGGGUGAGUAAUGUCUGGGAAACUGCCUGAUGGAGGGGGAAAACUACCGGAAACGGUAGCUAAUUCCGCAUAUCAUUAGAUGUUAUCCGUGGGGAUUAGCUAGUUGGUGGGGUAACGGCUUACCAAGGCGACGAUCCCUAGCUUGUCUGAGAGGAUUACCAGCCACACUGGAACUGAGACACGGUCCAGACUCCUACGGGAGGCAGCAGUGGGGAAUAGUGCACAAUGGGCGCAAGCCUGAUGCAGCCAUGCCGCGUGUAUGAAGAAGGCCUUCGGGUUGUAAAGUACUGUCAUCGGGGAGGCGUUACCCGCAGAAGAAGCACCGGCUAACUCCGUGCCAGCAGCCGCGGUAAUUC